RNAcentral lists this ribosomal RNA (468 nucleotides) under uncultured bacterium. RNAcentral's name for it is "partial 16S ribosomal RNA". It matches the Rfam family "Bacterial small subunit ribosomal RNA", at positions 28 to 507 of the family's 1533-position model. The record is from RNAcentral.
GACGAACGCUGGCGGCGUGCUUAACACAUGCAAGUCGAACGGAAAGGCCCUGCUUUUGUGGUGUGCUCGAGUGGCGAGCGGGUGAGUAACACGUGAGUAACCUGCCCUUGACUUUGGGAUAACUUCAGGAAACUGGGGCUAAUACCGUAUAGGAGCUCCUGCUGCAUGGUGGGGGUUGGAACGUUUCGGCGGGUGGGGAUGGACUCGCGGCUUAUCAGCUUGUUGGUGGGGUAGUGGCUUACCAAGGCUUUGACGGGUAGCCGGCCUGAGAGGGUGACCGGCCACAUUGGGACUGAGAUACGGCGCAGACUCCUACGGGAGGCAGCAGUGGGGAAUAUUGCACAAUGGGCGGAAGCCGGAUGCAGCAACGCCGCGUGCGGGAUGACGGCCUUCGGGUUGUAAACCGCUUUCGCCUGUGACGAAGCGUGAGUGACGGUAAUGGGUAAAGAAGCACCGGCUAACUACGUG